CAACCUGACCUCCAGGACCACCAGCUACAAAGGCUUGUGCUUUCUGUAACAUAAGCUAUACACCUAGAAAACCAUCAUGUCUCCAAAGUACUAGAGAGACCAGAAUAUUGUGAUCCAGAUGAUAAAAAAUUCUCACGUGCCUGUCUUCCUCACCUGGAAAUACUUGGAGACGAAUGGCUGAGCUGGUCGGCUGAGGUUGUGUGCCUUUCACCUACAGACACUACGCUCAAAGCAGGUGCUACAAAUGUUCUAGAUGUCUAACCAAGGACUACAAAA
This is a long non-coding RNA of Numida meleagris (helmeted guineafowl), 276 nucleotides long. RefSeq lists it as uncharacterized. Lineage: Eukaryota; Metazoa; Chordata; Aves; Galliformes; Numididae. The record is from RefSeq and is a predicted model, not a curated record. The transcript has 2 exons.